RNAcentral lists this unclassified non-coding RNA (202 nucleotides) under uncultured Entoloma. RNAcentral describes it as "sequence contains ITS2". The record is from RNAcentral. Lineage: Eukaryota; Fungi; Basidiomycota; Agaricomycetes; Agaricales; Entolomataceae.
AAUUAUCAACCUGUUGUGGCUUUCUAUUUUGUUAGCCCCAUUUUGGCUUGGAUCUUGGAGGUUGCUGGCUUGAAUAAAGUCAGCUCCUUUUAAAUGCAUUAGCAACAUCUUUGCUGAAUUAUCCUUUUGGUGUGAUAAUUAUCUAUGCCAUUGGGAAUCACAGAUUUUGCUUCCAACUGUCUGUUUGGACAUCAUUGUACAA